AUUGAACGCUGGCGGCAGGCCUAACACAUGCAAGUCGAGCGGAUGAAGGGAGCUUGCUCCUGGAUUCAGCGGCGGACGGGUGUGUAAUGCCUAGGAAUCUGCCUGGUAGUGGGGGAUAACGUCCGGAAACGGGCGCUAAUACCGCAUACGUCCUGAGGGAGAAAGUGGGGGAUCUUCGGACCUCACGCUAUCAGAUGAGCCUAGGUCGGAUUAGCUAGUUGGUGGGGUAAAGGCCUACCAAGGCGACGAUCCGUAACUGGUCUGAGAGGAUGAUCAGUCACACUGGAACUGAGACGCGGUCCAGACUCCUACGGGAGGCAGCAGUGGGGAAUAGUAGACAAUGGGCGAAAGCCUGAUCCAGCCAUGCCGCGUGUGUGAAGAAGGUCUUCGGAUUGUAAAGCACUUUAAGUUGGGGGGAAGGGCAGUAAGUUAAUACCUUGCUGUUUUGACGUUACCAACAGAAUAAGCACCGGCUAACUUCGUG
Molecule: ribosomal RNA, 484 nt
Filed under: uncultured bacterium
Lineage: Bacteria
Description: partial 16S ribosomal RNA
Rfam family: Bacterial small subunit ribosomal RNA
Source: RNAcentral